This 293-nucleotide ribosomal RNA is filed under the name uncultured bacterium. RNAcentral's name for it is "partial 16S ribosomal RNA". It matches the Rfam family "Bacterial small subunit ribosomal RNA", at positions 505 to 796 of the family's 1533-position model. The record is from RNAcentral.
GUGCCAGCCGCCGCGGUAACACGUAGGCACCAAGCGUUGUCCGGAUUUAUUGGGCGUAAAGAGCUCGUAGGCGGUUCAGUAAGUCGGUUGUGAAAACUUUGGGCUUAACCCAAAGCGUGCGUCCGAUACUGCUGUGACUUGAGUUCGGUAGGGGAGUGGGGAAUUCCUAGUGUAGCGGUGAAAUGCGCAGAUAUUAGGAGGAACACCGGUGGCGAAGGCGCCACUCUGGGCCGAAACUGACGCUGAGGAGCGAAAGCAUGGGUAGCAAACAGGAUUAGAUACCCCUGUAGUCC